RNAcentral lists this ribosomal RNA (408 nucleotides) under uncultured bacterium. Its description in RNAcentral is "partial 16S ribosomal RNA". It matches the Rfam family "Bacterial small subunit ribosomal RNA", at positions 29 to 526 of the family's 1533-position model. The record is from RNAcentral.
AGUGAACGCUGGCGGCGUGCCUAAUACAUGCAAGUCGAACGGAGUGGCGCACGGGUGAGUACUCUAUAGCUAAUCUGCCCCUUGCUGGAGGACCACAGUUAGAAAUGACUGCUAAUACUCCAUAGCAAGGGAUGAGACUAUAUCGUGGCAGCUAGUCGUUGGGGUAACGGCCUACCGAGGCGAUGACGAGUAACGGGUCUGAGAGGAUGUUCAGUCACAUGGGAAAGGAGACACUGUACAAACGCCUACGGGAGGCAGCAGUAGGGAAGAAUGCGCAAGGGGGGAAACCCUGACGAAGCAACGCCGCGUGGAGGAUGACACUUUUCUGAGCGUAAACUCCUUUUGUUAUGUAAGCGGUACCUAACGAAUAAGCACCGGCUAACUCCGUGCCAGCAGCCGCGGUAAUAC